CAUGGGGGAGCGAACAGGAUUAGAUACCCCUGGUAGUGCAUGCCGUAAAACGUUGGGCACUAGGUGUGGGGCUCAUUCCACGAGUUCCGUGCCGCAGCAAAACGCAUUAAGUGCCCCGCCUGGGGGAGUACGGCCGCAAGGCUAAAACUCAAAGAAAUUGACGGGGGCCCGCACAAGCGGCGGAGCAUGCGGAUUAAUUCGAUGCAACGCGAAGAACCUUACCAAGGCUUGACAUACACCGGAAAAGUGCAGAGAUGUGCUCCCCGCAAGGUCGGUGUACAGGUGGUGCAUGGUUGUCGUCAGCUCGUGUCGUGAGAUGUUGGGUUAAGUCCCGCAACGAGCGCAACCCUCGUCCUAUGUUGCCAGCACGUCAUGGUGGGGACUCAUAGGAGACUGCCGGGGUCAACUCGGAGGAAGGUGGGGAUGACGUCAAAUCAUCAUGCCCCUUAUGUCUUGGGCUUCACGCAUGCUACAAUGGCCGGUACAAAGGGCUGCGAUACCGCGAGGUGGAGCGAAUCCCAAAAAGCCGGUCUCAGUUCGGAUUGGGGUCUGCAACUCGACCCCAUGAAGUCGGAGUCGCUAGUAAUCGCAGAUCAGCAACGCUGCGGUGAAUAUGUUCCCGGGCCUUGUACACACCGCCCGUCAAGUCACGAAAGUCGGUAACACCCGAAGCCGGUGGCCCAACCCUUGUGGAGGGAG
Molecule: ribosomal RNA, 699 nt
Filed under: Cellulomonas sp.
Lineage: Bacteria; Bacillati; Actinomycetota; Actinomycetes; Micrococcales; Cellulomonadaceae
Description: bacterial SSU rRNA
Rfam family: Bacterial small subunit ribosomal RNA
Source: RNAcentral